This 89-nucleotide transfer RNA is filed under the name Enterococcus faecium. RNAcentral's name for it is "tRNA-Leu". It matches the Rfam family "tRNA". Rfam says of the family: Transfer RNA (tRNA) molecules are approximately 80 nucleotides in length. Their secondary structure includes four short double-helical elements and three loops (D, anti-codon, and T loops). The record is from RNAcentral. Lineage: Bacteria; Bacillati; Bacillota; Bacilli; Lactobacillales; Enterococcaceae.
GCCGGGGGUGGGCGGAACUGGCAGGACGCACAGGACUUAAAAUCCUGCGGUGAGUGAUCACCGUACCGGUUCGAUUCCGGUCCUCGGCA